AAUGACACAGGCUCUCCCGCUUGGGGAGACCUUAGGCUAAGCGCCCCUCCUUAAAGUGCAAUGGAGGUCACUAGCCUAGGCCACUCAUCUUCUUGAUCAUGAGUUGACCCUGUCCAGGUAAGUGAUUUGUAUGCUAACUCUACUUCUCUUCUUAUACUCUCCUUCGCGAGUCAUUCUUUCUACGCGUAACCGAUGUGGGACUAUCUGUUAGCAAGUUUCACGCUCUGACACAGUUUUUUCUUUACGACAAUAUACAUGGGCUGGUACUAUAGGCUCAGUUAUCACGUGUUUGAGCAUUUCUGGACAAUCACAACUUCGUUAUCGCACGUAUUUUAGUCAUCCUUUAUUUCGUAUUGUUGUGGAUCCAAAAUUUAUUUUCGAUCAAUAAAAUCUCACAUAUUAUUUGGUUUUGAUGAGCCUUCAUGAAAUUUAUAGCUGAUCCCUUUGUUACCAAACAACUUAUAAGUUAUAGCUAUUGCCUCUUGUGACCUGAAUUUUCUUUUUUGAAAAUAAAAAUUGCAGGUUUGCGUGCUCUGAUGAUUCAUGUCUUGACUGGUCUAGGUCUACUAUUGAAAAUCAAUCUCUUUCAGCUGAAGUAUAAACAGAGAAACAUUCAAAUAUUCCAGUAACUCUCUACUAUUGUCAGAUCAUUCAGCGACUUGGAAAAAUGGAACAACAACAAAAUGUAUGUUUUUUAUCAGUUAAUAGCACUUAGUUAUGUUCUUAAGAUUCAGUAUAGCUUCGUACGGAUUGGUGUUUUUGUAUUAAAGCGCUUUGCGAGUACAUUAUAAAACAUCAUUUUCAC
Molecule: long non-coding RNA, 805 nt
Filed under: Brassica rapa (field mustard)
Lineage: Eukaryota; Viridiplantae; Streptophyta; Magnoliopsida; Brassicales; Brassicaceae
Description: long non-coding RNA (BRAP_LNC004621)
Source: RNAcentral